RNAcentral lists this ribosomal RNA (1372 nucleotides) under uncultured bacterium. Its description in RNAcentral is "bacterial SSU rRNA". It matches the Rfam family "Bacterial small subunit ribosomal RNA", at positions 28 to 1381 of the family's 1533-position model. The record is from RNAcentral.
GAUGAACGCUGGCGGCGUGCCUAAUACAUGCAAGUCGAGCGAACGGACGAGAAGCUUGCUUCUCUGAUGUUAGCGGCGGACGGGUGAGUAACACGUGGAUAACCUACCUAUAAGACUGGGAUAACUUCGGGAAACCGGAGCUAAUACCGGAUAAUAUUUUGAACCGCAUGGUUCAAAAGUGAAAGACGGUCUUGCUGUCACUUAUAGAUGGAUCCGCGCUGCAUUAGCUAGUUGGUAAGGUAACGGCUUACCAAGGCAACGAUGCAUAGCCGACCUGAGAGGGUGAUCGGCCACACUGGAACUGAGACACGGUCCAGACUCCUACGGGAGGCAGCAGUAGGGAAUCUUCCGCAAUGGGCGAAAGCCUGACGGAGCAACGCCGCGUGAGUGAUGAAGGUCUUCGGAUCGUAAAACUCUGUUAUUAGGGAAGAACAUAUGUGUAAGUAACUGUGCACAUCUUGACGGUACCUAAUCAGAAAGCCACGGCUAACUACGUGCCAGCAGCCGCGGUAAUACGUAGGUGGCAAGCGUUAUCCGGAAUUAUUGGGCGUAAAGCGCGCGUAGGCGGUUUUUUAAGUCUGAUGUGAAAGCUCACGGCUCAACCGUGGAGGGUCAUUGGAAACUGGAAAACUUGAGUGCAGAAGAGGAAAGUGGAAUUCCAUGUGUAGCGGUGAAAUGCGCAGAGAUAUGGAGGAACACCAGUGGCGAAGGCGACUUUCUGGUCUGUAACUGACGCUGAUGUGCGAAAGCGUGGGGAUCAAACAGGAUUAGAUACCCUGGUAGUCCACGCCGUAAACGAUGAGUGCUAAGUGUUAGGGGGUUUCCGCCCCUUAGUGCUGCAGCUAACGCAUUAAGCACUCCGCCUGGGGAGUACGACCGCAAGGUUGAAACUCAAAGGAAUUGACGGGGACCCGCACAAGCGGUGGAGCAUGUGGUUUAAUUCGAAGCAACGCGAAGAACCUUACCAAAUCUUGACAUCCUUUGACAACUCUAGAGAUAGAGCUUUCCCCUUCGGGGGACAAAGUGACAGGUGGUGCAUGGUUGUCGUCAGCUCGUGUCGUGAGAUGUUGGGUUAAGUCCCGCAACGAGCGCAACCCUUAAGCUUAGUUGCCAUCAUUAAGUUGGGCACUCUAAGUUGACUGCCGGUGACAAACCGGAGGAAGGUGGGGAUGACGUCAAAUCAUCAUGCCCCUUAUGAUUUGGGCUACACACGUGCUACAAUGGACAAUACAAAGGGCAGCGAAACCGCGAGGUCAAGCAAAUCCCAUAAAGUUGUUCUCAGUUCGGAUUGUAGUCUGCAACUCGACUACAUGAAGCUGGAAUCGCUAGUAAUCGUAGAUCAGCAUGCUACGGUGAAUACGUUCCCGGGUCU